Molecule: ribosomal RNA, 492 nt
Filed under: uncultured bacterium
Lineage: Bacteria
Description: partial 16S ribosomal RNA
Rfam family: Bacterial small subunit ribosomal RNA
Source: RNAcentral
AGUGAACGCUGGCGGUAGGCCUAACACAUGCAAGUCGAACGGCAGCACAGUAAGAGCUUGCUCUUACGGGUGGCGAGUGGCGGACGGGUGAGGAAUACAUCGGAAUCUACUUUUUCGUGGGGGAUAACGUAGGGAAACUUACGCUAAUACCGCAUACGACCUACGGGUGAAAGCAGGGGAUCUUCGGACCUUGCGCGAUUGAAUGAGCCGAUGUCGGAUUAGCUAGUUGGCGGUGUAAAGGCCCACCAAGGCGACGAUCCGUAGCUGGUCUGAGAGGAUGAUCAGCCACACUGGAACUGAGACACGGUCCAGACUCCUACGGGAGGCAGCAGUGGGGAAUAUUGGACAAUGGGCGAAAGCCUGAUCCAGCCAUACCGCGUGGGUGAAGAAGGCCUUCGGGUUGUAAAGCCCUUUUGUUGGGAAAGAAAAGCAGCAGGUUAAUACCCCGCUGUUCUGACGGUACCCAAAGAAUAAGCACCGGCUAACUUCGUG